GACGAACGCUGGCGGCGUGCUUAACACAUGCAAGUCGAACGGAAAGGCCCUGCUUUUGUUGGGUGCUCGAGUGGCGCACGGGUGAGUAACACGUGAGUAACCUGCCCUUGACUUUGGGAUAACUUCAGGAAACUGGGGCUAAUACCGGAUAUGAGCUCCUGCUGCAUGGUGGGGGUUGGAAAGUUUCGGCGGUUGGGGAUGGACUCGCGGCUUAUCAGCUUGUUGGUGGGGUAGUGGCUUACCAAGGCUUUGACGGGUAGCCGGCCUGAGAGCGUGACCGGCCACAAUGGGACUGAGGUACGGCCCAGACGCCUACGGGAGGCAGCAGUGGGGAAUAUUGCACAAUGGGCGGAAGCCUGAUGCAGCAACGCCGCGUGCGGGAUGACGGCCUUCGGGGUGUAAACCGCUUUCGCCUGUGACGAAGCGUGAGUGACGGUAAUGGGUAAAGAAGCACCGGCUAACUACGUG
Molecule: ribosomal RNA, 468 nt
Filed under: uncultured bacterium
Lineage: Bacteria
Description: partial 16S ribosomal RNA
Rfam family: Bacterial small subunit ribosomal RNA
Source: RNAcentral